RNAcentral lists this ribosomal RNA (844 nucleotides) under uncultured archaeon. RNAcentral describes it as "SSU rRNA". It matches the Rfam family "Archaeal small subunit ribosomal RNA", at positions 474 to 1337 of the family's 1478-position model. The record is from RNAcentral.
UACUCGCGGUCCAAGUCGCAGCCAUUUUUAUUGGGUCUAAAACAUCCGUAGCUUGCUUGAUAAGUUCUUUGUGAAAUUUUAUCUCUUAAAGAUGAAACGUGCAAGGAGUACUGUCAAGCUAGAGACUGGAAGACGUAGGAAGUAUGUUCAAAGUAGCGGUAAAAUGUGUUAAUCUUGAACAGACUCACAAUAGCGAAGGCAUCCUACGAGGACAGUUCUGACAGUAAGGGAUGAAGGCUAGGGGCGCAAAACGGAUUAGAUACCCGUGUAGUCCUAGCAGUAAACACUGCACACUAAACAUCAGUACCUCCUCGAGAGGUAUUGGUGCUGUAGGGAAGCCGAAGAGUGUGCUACCUGGGAAGUAUAGUCGCAAGGCCGAAACUUAAAGGAAUUGGCGGGGAGACACUACAACGGGUGACGCGUGCGGUUCAAUCAGAUUAUACACCGUGAACCUCACCAGGAGCGACAGCAGGAUGAAGGUCAGUCUAAAGGGCUUACCUGACACGCUGAGAGGAAUUACAAAGCCGACGUCAGCCUGUGCUGUGAAGUGACCUGUUAAAUCAGGUAACAGGCAAGACCCACAUACAUAUUUACUAAGUGUACUAUAUGUAGAUUGCCUUGGUAACGAGGAUGAAAGUGUGGGCUACGUUAGGUGGCUCAGUCCGAAUCCCCUGGGCAACACGCGCGCGUCAAUGGUGAAUACAAUGGGAUGCGACCCUGAAAAGAGAAGCUAAUCUCUUAAAGUUCAUCUCAGUCCAGAUUGAGGUUUGUAACUCAGCCUCAUGACGCUGGAAUCCGUAGUAAUCGGGUGUUAUCAGCGCCCGGUGAAUACGUCACUGUCUCU